GAUGAAAGCCAGCCAAAGGGCUACAACAUGCCAGUCCAGGGGCAUCAGGAAAGAAGCCUGGCUUCCUUGCCGGCGACCGGCGCACGGGUGAGUAAUACCUAUCCCACCUGCCCCUUACUCGGGGAUAGCCUUUCGAAAGAAAGAUUAAUACCCGAUAGCAUAAUGAUUCCGCAUGGUUUUCAUUAUUAAAGGAUUCCGGUAAAGGAUGGGGAUGCGUUUCCAUUAGGUUGUUGGUGAGGUAACGGCUCACCAAGCCUUCGAUGGAUAGGGGUUCUGAGAGGAAGGUCCCCCACAUUGGAACUGAGACACGGUCCAAACUCCUACGGGAGGCAGCAGUGAGGAAUAUUGGUCAAUGGGCGCUAGCCUGAACCAGCCAAGUAGCGUGAAGGAUGAAGGCUCUAUGGGUCGUAAACUUCUUUUAUAUAAGAAUAAAGUGCAGUAUGUAUACUGUUUUGUAUGUAUUAUAUGAAUAAGGAUUCGGCUAACUCCGUGCCAGCAGCCGCGGUAAUACGGAGGAUUCCGAGCGUUAUCCGGAUUUAUUGGGUUUAAAGGGAGCGUAGGUGGACUGGUAAGUCAGUUGUGAAAGUUUGCGGCUCAACCGUAAAAUUGCAGUUGAUACUGUCAGUCUUGAGUACAGUAGAGGUGGGCGGAAUUCGUGGUGUAGCGGUGAAAUGCUUAGAUAUCACGAAAAACUCCGAUUGCGAAGGCAGCUCACUGGACUGCAACUGACACUGAUGCUCGAAAGUGUGGGUAUCAAACAGGAUUAGAUACCCUGGUAGUCCACACAGUAAACGAUGAAUACUCGCUGUUUGCGAUAUACAGUAAGCGGCCAAGCGAAAGCAUUAAGUAUUCCACCUGGGGAGUACGCCGGCAACGGUGAAACUCAAAGGAAUUGACGGGGGCCCGCACAAGCGGAGGAACAUGUGGUUUAAUUCGAUGAUACGCGAGGAACCUUACCCGGGCUUAAAUUGCAGUGGAAUGAUGUGGAAACAUGUCAGUGAGCAAUCACCGCUGUGAAGGUGCUGCAUGGUUGUCGUCAGCUCGUGCCGUGAGGUGUCGGCUUAAGUGCCAUAACGAGCGCAACCCUUAUCUUCAGUUACUAACAGGUCAUGCUGAGGACUCUGGAGAGACUGCCGUCGUAAGAUGUGAGGAAGGUGGGGAUGACGUCAAAUCAGCACGGCCCUUACGUCCGGGGCUACACACGUGUUACAAUGGGGGGUACAGAAGGCAGCUAGCGGGUGACCGUAUGCUAAUCCCAAAAGCCUCUCUCAGUUCGGAUCGAAGUCUGCAACCCGACUUCGUGAAGCUGGAUUCGCUAGUAAUCGCGCAUCAGCCACGGCGCGGUGAAUACGUUCCCGGGCCU
RNAcentral lists this ribosomal RNA (1363 nucleotides) under uncultured bacterium. RNAcentral's name for it is "bacterial SSU rRNA". It matches the Rfam family "Bacterial small subunit ribosomal RNA", at positions 28 to 1381 of the family's 1533-position model. The record is from RNAcentral.